CGUCUGAAUCUGCCUUUAGCACUAGCGGUAGAGUACUUAGUGCACACCGUAGUUCGCUUGCUCCAAAUAUGGCCGAGGCCCUGAUGUGCAUGCAAGCUUGGUCUCGCGCCGACAUGUUAGGGGAUUGCAAUUCUACUCUGUUUGCGGAGUUCCAGUCUGUUCUUGAUGAUGAAGAAGAACCAAUGGAAGAAGACGUGUCGAUCUUGACCGAAGAAUAAACGAAUUGAAGCUUCCUGGCUAGCCGCUGCUUGGUCCUUGCUGCCAGUUUUCCUGGGCGUUGGGAGUGACGUUGAUCAAGGGUGCUGACUUGCUGUUGGCUGACGUGCUACUUGCUAGCUAGGUUGCUUGCUGCAUUGCUGGGCAUUGCUAAUUGCUAAUUGCUACUUGGCUACUUGCUAUGGCUGUAAGCCUGUAACUUAUUUGUGUUUGUGUAAGGCACUAAGGCUACGGCUGUUAUUAUUUUAGCAGAUUGUGCAAGGCUGCUACUUAUUUGUCACCUCCUAGUUUGCUGAUAUCUUGGGAAGUAUUUGUAUGACUACUUAUAUCUAUUUGUGGUGCAACUGUUGUGAUUGGAAAUCUAAAAAAUAUGUUGUUUGA
Molecule: long non-coding RNA, 597 nt
Organism: Lolium perenne
Lineage: Eukaryota; Viridiplantae; Streptophyta; Magnoliopsida; Poales; Poaceae
Source: RefSeq, a predicted model, not a curated record